AUGGAUGAUGGACCAAGGGGGUUCCAGUGCCCUGAGCUGGAGAACCAUGACUGCAAGAAUGAUCAACUCACAGCCUUGACUCUGAAAGUGUGUGUGUUCUAC
Neopelma chrysocephalum (saffron-crested tyrant-manakin) is the source of this 102-nucleotide long non-coding RNA. RefSeq lists it as uncharacterized. The record is from RefSeq and is a predicted model, not a curated record. The transcript has 4 exons. NCBI's taxonomy places the organism in Eukaryota, Metazoa, Chordata, Aves, Passeriformes, Pipridae.